This 258-nucleotide unclassified non-coding RNA is filed under the name uncultured fungus. RNAcentral describes it as "partial contains 18S rRNA, ITS1, 5.8S rRNA". Lineage: Eukaryota; Fungi. The record is from RNAcentral.
GCAGAAGGAUCAUUAGUGAAGAUUUGGGCAGGCCAUACGGACGCCAAAAGGUGUCCCUGGCCGCCUACACCCACUAUACAUCCACAAACCCGUGUGCACUGUCUUGGAGAAAGGCUUCAGAGAAGUUUUUUGUGGCCUCUCUUGGGGUCUUUCUUCGCUACAAACUCGAAUGGUUAGUAUGAACGUGGAACUUGGUUGGACCGUCACUGGCCAACAAACUAUACACAACUUUCGACAACGGAUCUCUUGGUUCUCCCA